CUCAUACUCCCUCCGUCCAGAAAUACUUGUCAUCAAAAUAGAUAAAAGGGGAUGUAUUUAGACGUAUUUUAGUUUGAGAUGCAUCUCUUCUUGUCCAUUUUGAUGACAAGUAUUUUUGGACGGAGGGAGUACUCU
Triticum aestivum (bread wheat) is the source of this 135-nucleotide non-coding RNA. NCBI's taxonomy places the organism in Eukaryota, Viridiplantae, Streptophyta, Magnoliopsida, Poales, Poaceae. The record is from Rfam.